AACACCAAACCCGGAAAUCGACUCGCAAAAACCUAAAACCAAACUAAUCCAGCACGCAGCCUGCGGACAAAGUAAUGAUUGCAGAUAUUAAAUCCCAAAACCCGAAACCAUUCAUGGAAUCUUUGUUGAGUCUGUAUCAGCAAUCGCAAAAGAAACAAAGGAAAAUUCUAAACUAAAUCAAAUCAAUAACAACGAGAAGAAAAAAAGAAUACCUUGACAGAUCGGCCUUACAAAAGCCAGAGAGCGCCAAACAGGAAAGAAGGUAAAGGUAUCAAAAAAAAUCAAAAUCUAUUCCUGUUACAGAGAAUAUUAGAAUGUCCCGAGACUCAAGAACUGGUUCAGUAGAAAAGAGGGACGAACGAGAGAGGCCGG
Molecule: long non-coding RNA, 372 nt
Filed under: Phoenix dactylifera (date palm)
Lineage: Eukaryota; Viridiplantae; Streptophyta; Magnoliopsida; Arecales; Arecaceae
Description: long non-coding RNA (PDAC_LNC008911)
Source: RNAcentral